Molecule: ribosomal RNA, 467 nt
Filed under: uncultured bacterium
Lineage: Bacteria
Description: partial 16S ribosomal RNA
Rfam family: Bacterial small subunit ribosomal RNA
Source: RNAcentral
GACGAACGCUGGCGGCGUGCUUAACACAUGCAAGUCGAACGGAAAGGCCCUGCUUUUGUGGGGUGCUCGAGUGGCGAACGGGUGAGUAACACGUGAGUAACCUGCCCUUGACUUUGGGAUAACUUCAGGAAACUGGGGCUAAUACCGGAUAGGAGCUCCUGCUGCAUGGUGGGGGUUGGAAAGUUUCGGCGGUUGGGGAUGGACUCGCGGCUUAUCAGCUUGUUGGUGGGGUAGUGGCUUACCAAGGCUUUGACGGGUAGCCGGCCUGAGAGGGUGACCGGCCACAUUGGGACUGAGAUACGGCCCAGACUCCGACGGGAGGCAGCAGUGGGGAAUAUUGCACAAUGGGCGGAAGCCGGAUGCAGCAACGCCGGGUGCGGGAGGACGGCCUUCGGGUUGUAAACCGCUUUCGCCUGUGACGAAGCGUGAGUGACGGUAAUGGGUAAAGAAGCACCGGCUAACUACGU